AAGGUUUUCCUGGCAACGCGUCGUCGACCAGGAGUUAGCCGAUCCUAAGUGUAAUCCCAAAGGUUUUACACGAAAAGGGAAACCGGUUAAUAUUCCGGUGCCCUAGAGAUUCCGUGCACUUUGUGCAGAUUUAGCUUCGCUUUCUUCGAGAUAGGGUGAACAAGGUUGUCGCCUUGUUUAAUUGUUCAAGAUUGGGGGAGUGUCGUAAUGACGAGAACUCAUUCGAGGCGAGAAUAGCCGGCCGUAUGGCUGGUUCACUUGAAUCUGGGAGACACUGAAAACGGAGUUGAUGAGGAAUCUUUAGGUUCGUACCCAGAACCGACACAGGUGCCCUAGCUGAGAAGGCUUCGGUGUAUCGGGUAUAUGGUAGGCGAGGGAAUUCGGCAAAUUAGCCCCGUACCUUCGGUAUAAGGGGUGCCUGCUAUUUUUGCGAGAAGCAGGGAUAGCAGGUCGCAGUAACAAGGGGGUCCCGACUGUUUAAUAAAAACACAGGAAGCUGCUAGCCCGAAAGGGUGUGUAUAGCUUUUGAAUCCUGGCCAGCAACGGUACCUAAAACCUGGGUUCAACUGGGCUAAGGGCCGUUUAGCGCCGGGAGUAACUCUGACUCUCUUAAGGUAGCCAAAUGCCUUGUCGGGUAA
RNAcentral lists this ribosomal RNA (638 nucleotides) under Candidatus Poseidoniia archaeon. RNAcentral describes it as "partial 23S ribosomal RNA". It matches the Rfam family "Archaeal large subunit ribosomal RNA", at positions 1435 to 2056 of the family's 2987-position model. The record is from RNAcentral. Lineage: Archaea; Methanobacteriati; Thermoplasmatota; Candidatus Poseidoniia.